Long non-coding RNA from Bos taurus (domestic cattle), 1602 nucleotides. The record is from Ensembl. Lineage: Eukaryota; Metazoa; Chordata; Mammalia; Artiodactyla; Bovidae.
GGCAAAUGCGGGUAAGUUUCCUGGCUCAAAUCUAGGAUUUGCCGUUAACCACAAUUACUUUCCUCUGGAGCCCGCGUGCUGCAACCACGGAAACCCGGGCACCUGGGGCUUGCGGUCUGCAGGAAAAGCCGCCUCACUGAGAAACCUGUGCACGCAACUGAAGAGUGGCCCCUGCUCCCUGCAACUAGAGAAAGCCCGUGUACAGCAACAAAGACACACAGCACAGCCAGAAAAAUAAAUGAAUACAAUGUUUUCAAAGCUUCAAAUUUUAUGUAAGGUACUUUUAUUCAUCUCCUACUCACUGUAUGAGGAUGGCCGUUAGAACAUACUUACUUUGCCUGCAGAUAAGCAGAAAAACGAUGAAAUCUGACAAUAUUCUUUUUCCCACAUGAUUUCCAAAACCAAGAGGGCAUUGGAAGCCAUGGGAUUUCAGGACGUCUAACCUCAGCAAAUAAGGGCGAGGUGACCUGAGUCUGAAUCCCCCCACUGGAAGCCCAGGCUCCGGGCGCUCCCUGGACAGAGGAGGCGGCAUCUCCGCUGCCCGAGGGCCCAGCGAAGGCUCUCACGGCGCUGACACAAGGGAAGCACCAGGUCUGCGUGCCCUUCAAGGUCCACGUACCACGCCAAGCCCCUCUGUGACCCAGGGGCGGUGACGAGACAGCUGGGACCGUAAACAUUGACGGAAGAUCGUCCCUGUUGCCUCAUUUUCUGAAAAUUGUACCUUUAAGAAACACUUUUAGAAAUGACGCAGGGAAGGACAUGAUUUCCUGAAAAUGCUGCAGUGUAACUCAGAUUGAAGAUGUGAGAGACACAUCCAACCACAGGGAAGAGAGAAAUAAUAAGGAAAUAAAUACAAACACUCAGGCAGGCAAGUGUGCACACAGGACGUCGUUCAGGGCCGGGCAGACGCUGGGGCUGUGCUCUGCCUGGGGGUCGUUGUCCCCGAUGCCCCGCAGACCAGAGUCCACCUGUGCUCGGGCCUUGAUCAGGUGCCCGGAGAGCUGUCCUCGCCCUCCCCCGGCUGCCGCUGCCGCUCCAGCCCCGCCAGCUCCUCGCUGGACGGCUCUGCGCCCCUGGCCCUCGCCCGCGGGGCACGGAAGACCCUCCGCAGAGAGCAGGCCUUGAACGUGGCGAGCAAGCCGUGGGUGGGUGGCUGGCUGGCUGAAGGCUGGGGCAUCCGUGGGCAGGUCCUCCACUCGCACGUGGUCGGAGAGGUCGUCCAGGUUGCCAGGGCGGCGGGGAGCGCGGUCCAGAACGAGCAGCGCUUUGAACGGGGGCGCGUGCGUGGCGCAGUACCUCUCCACCGGGGCAGGACAAGUCCCCGAGCCGCUCCUGGAAGAAGCUCCUGGUGACCCGGGCCCCCUGUGCGAGCGCCACAGCGCGGGCAUGUUGGGCUUGGAGAAGCCCCCUGAGCGCACCCGGGUUCUCCGCGAGAAACACCAGCAGCGGCAGGGUCAGGAGAUCGCGGGCGCCUGUGAGCCCAGGGUCCGGCGUCUCCGCCGCGGAAGGGCCCGUCCUGCUGGGCAGCCGCCUCCAGAACAACCGGGUCUCCUCCCCCACGGAACACCUGCCGGGCCGCGUCGCCGCCGUCCGGGAUCAGUC